This 378-nucleotide ribosomal RNA is filed under the name uncultured bacterium. RNAcentral describes it as "bacterial SSU rRNA". It matches the Rfam family "Bacterial small subunit ribosomal RNA", at positions 521 to 898 of the family's 1533-position model. The record is from RNAcentral.
UAAUACGGAGGGUGCAAGCGUUAAUCGGAAUUACUGGGCGUAAAGCGCACGCAGGCGGUUUGUUAAGUCAGAUGUGAAAUCCCCGAGCUUAACUUGGGAACUGCAUUUGAAACUGGCAAGCUAGAGUCUUGUAGAGGGGGGUAGAAUUCCAGGUGUAGCGGUGAAAUGCGUAGAGAUCUGGAGGAAUACCGGUGGCGAAGGCGGCCCCCUGGACAAAGACUGACGCUCAGGUGCGAAAGCGUGGGGAGCAAACAGGAUUAGAUACCCUGGUAGUCCACGCUGUAAACGAUGUCGACUUGGAGGUUGUGCCCUUGAGGCGUGGAUUCCGGAGCUAACGCGUUAAGUCGACCGCCUGGGGAGUACGGCCGCAAGGUUAAA